This is a long non-coding RNA of Drosophila subpulchrella, 242 nucleotides long. RefSeq lists it as uncharacterized. Lineage: Eukaryota; Metazoa; Arthropoda; Insecta; Diptera; Drosophilidae. The transcript is spliced from 3 exons. The record is from RefSeq and is a predicted model, not a curated record.
GAAAAAUAUAGAAAUAAAAGUCGCUUACAAUGCAUAAUGCAUGGAAAAUAAAUUAAACGCGGAAACCUAUAUAUCUUUUUUAAUACAUUCUGUGUACUUUUUAUUAGGAAAGAUACAAUAUCUAUUGAGUAACAGGCUUCUCAAAUAGUGAAUUCCACUUAGCCGCUCAUUGCCCACCGUUAGCCACAGCACACUCCAAUUACCUUGACGAUUCGCCGAGAAGGAGCGCGUUCGAAUAUCCC